GCAAACUUCGUGCCAGCAGCCGCGGUAAUACGAAGGGUGCAAGCGUUAAUCGGAAUUACUGGGCGUAAAGCGCGCGUAGGUGGUUUGGUAAGCGAUAUGUGAAAUCCCCGGGCUUAACCUGGGAACUGCAUGUCGAACUGCCAGGCUAGAGUAUGGUAGAGGGGUGUGGAAUUUCCGGUGUAGCGGUGAAAUGCGUAGAUAUCGGAAGGAACAUCAGUGGCGAAGGCGACACCCUGGACCGAUACUGACACUGAGGCGCGAAAGCGUGGGUAGCGAACAGGAUUAGAUACCCUUGUAGUC
RNAcentral lists this ribosomal RNA (300 nucleotides) under uncultured Marinomonas sp. RNAcentral describes it as "bacterial SSU rRNA". It matches the Rfam family "Bacterial small subunit ribosomal RNA", at positions 496 to 795 of the family's 1533-position model. Lineage: Bacteria; Pseudomonadati; Pseudomonadota; Gammaproteobacteria; Oceanospirillales; Oceanospirillaceae. The record is from RNAcentral.